GAAAGAUUUUUGAGCCUCUUUCUUUUUUUUUUAAGAGAGAGAGAGAGAGAGAGAGAGAGAGAAUUUUAAUAUUUAUUAUUUUAGUUUUCGGCAGACACAACAUCUUUGUUUGUAUGUGGUGCUGAGGAUCGAACCCGGGCCGCACGCAUGCCAGGCGAGCGCGCUACUGCUUGAGCCACAUCCCCAGCCCGAGCCUCUUUCUUUAGUGAAGAAGAAACUCAAAGACAUAGUCAUUGUCCCAAAGUCACAGUGAGUUGGAGGCUAAGUCAGAGAGAGAACUCAGAUCUUCUAGGGGCCAGGCAGUGAGGGAGGGCUUUGGAGUCUAACUUCAUGCUCACCGGCUGCCCUGGCUUCCACAUCUGUGGAUGGAGAGGAUGAGGGCACAGUGCUGCUUCAUGGAGGUGUCGGGCUCUGGACCAAGGAGGACAGGUUGGUAUGAUCCACUCACCCAGAGACCUGGGAAGGUUGGUUUAGUUAGUUUUCUGUAACCAAAAGACCUAACAAGUACAACCUAGAAAAGGAAAAGCUUACUUUGGCUCAUAGUUUCUGGGGUUCAGUCCACGGUUGCCUGACUCCAUUGCUCUGAGCCAGACGUGAGGCAGAAGAUCACGGCAGGAAGAUGUAGCAGAGCAAAGCAACUCAGGACAUGGCAACAGGAAGCAGAUAGUGCUCCACUCACC
RNAcentral lists this long non-coding RNA (680 nucleotides) under Marmota monax (woodchuck). The record is from RNAcentral. Lineage: Eukaryota; Metazoa; Chordata; Mammalia; Rodentia; Sciuridae.